ACCUCACGGAUUGCCCAGUAAACGGCGAGUGAAGCGGUACAGCUCAAAUUUGAAAUCUGGCCUAGGCCCGAGUUGUAAUUUGCAGAGGAUGCUUCGGGCGCGGUGCCUUCUGAGUUCCCUGGAACGGGACGCCAUAGAGGGUGAGAGCCCCGUACGGUUGGACACCUAGCCUGUGUGAAGCUCCUUCGACGAGUCGAGUAGUUUGGGAAUGCUGCUCAAAAUGGGAGGUAUAUCUCUUCUAAAGCUAAAUACCGGCCAGAGACCGAUAGCGCACAAGUAGAGUGAUCGAAAGAUGAAAAGCACCUUGAAAAGGGGGUUAAACAGCACGUGAAAUUGUUGAAAGGGAAGGGCCCAUGACCAGACUUGUGCCCGGCGGAUCACCCAGCGUUCUCGCUGGGGCACUCCGCCGGGUCCAGGCCAGCAUCGGUUCUCGCCGGGGGAUAAAGGCUCUGGGAACGUAGCUCCUCCGGGAGUGUUAUAGCCCUCUGCGUAAUACCCUGGCGGGGACCGAGGUACGCGCUCCGCAAAGAUGCUGGCCUAAUGGUCAUCAGCCACCCGUCUUGAAACACGGACCCAAA
Molecule: unclassified non-coding RNA, 578 nt
Filed under: Phaeoacremonium parasiticum
Lineage: Eukaryota; Fungi; Ascomycota; Sordariomycetes; Togniniales; Togniniaceae
Description: sequence contains 18S rRNA gene, ITS1, 5.8S rRNA gene, ITS2, 28S rRNA gene
Rfam family: Eukaryotic large subunit ribosomal RNA
Source: RNAcentral